GUCCCUGUAGCUAAACGGAUAUAGUGUGGGGUUCCGAACCCCAAGUUAAGGGUUCGACUCCCUUCAGGGACC
RNAcentral lists this transfer RNA (72 nucleotides) under Junco hyemalis (dark-eyed junco). It matches the Rfam family "tRNA". From Rfam's summary of the family: Transfer RNA (tRNA) molecules are approximately 80 nucleotides in length. The record is from Rfam by way of RNAcentral. Lineage: Eukaryota; Metazoa; Chordata; Aves; Passeriformes; Passerellidae.